CAGGCCUAACACAUGCAAGUCGAGCGGAUGAAGGGAGCUUGCUCCCUGAUUUAGCGGCGGACGGGUGAGUAAUGCCUAKCGAAUCUGCCUGGKAGUGGGGGAUAACGUUCCGAAAGGAACGCUAAUACCGCAUACGUCCUACGGGAGAGAGCAGGGGACCUUCGGGCCUUGCGCUAUCAGAUGAGCCUAGGUCGGAUUAGCUAGUUGGUGAGGUAAUGGCUCACCAAGGCGACGAUCCGUAACUGGUCUGAGAGGAUGAUCAGUCACACUGGAACUGAGACACGGUCCAGACUMMUACGGGAGGCAGCAGUGGGGAAUAUUGGACAAUGGGCGAAAGCCUGAUCCAGCCAUGCCGCGUGUGUGAAGAAGGUCUUCGGAUUGUAAAGCACUUUAAGUUGGGAGGAAGGGCAGUAAGCUAAUACCUUGCUGUUUUGACGUUACCGACAGAAUAAGCACCGGCUAACUUCGUGCCAGCAGCCGCGGUAAUACGAAGGGUGCAAGCGUUAAUCGGAAUUACUGGGCGUAAAGCGCGCGUAGGUGGUUCGUUAAGUUGGAUGUGAAAGCCCCGGGCUCAACCUGGGAACUGCAUCCAAAACUGGCGAGCUAGAGUACGGUAGAGGGUGGUGGAAUUUCCUGUGUAGCGGUGAAAUGCGUAGAUAUAGGAAGGAACACCAGUGGCGAAGGCGACCACCUGGACUGAUACUACAGUAGUCAAGCG
This 718-nucleotide ribosomal RNA is filed under the name uncultured bacterium. RNAcentral describes it as "bacterial SSU rRNA". It matches the Rfam family "Bacterial small subunit ribosomal RNA", at positions 43 to 753 of the family's 1533-position model. The record is from RNAcentral.